RNAcentral lists this long non-coding RNA (2641 nucleotides) under Apis florea (little honeybee). Its description in RNAcentral is "uncharacterized LOC105735508". The record is from RNAcentral. Lineage: Eukaryota; Metazoa; Arthropoda; Insecta; Hymenoptera; Apidae.
GAAAUAUCUUCAACCAUUUCGAUGAAACAUUUAAAUGGCCACUCUUCGCCGAUCAAUUCCAUUUAACCGAAACUCAAUAAUCCCAUUAGAUUAAACCACUUCCCCAUUCAUCUCGAUAUUAAUUCAAUUUAAAAUUCAUCCCAUCCACGCCAUAGCGAAGCGUUAAAAUCUAUGAAACCCGAGUUUCCGUCGAAAAUCAUCGACUGGAAAACGGAAUUUUCCUUCCCGCUUGCCGUUCCGCUUGAAAUUUAUCAUUGGAUGGAUACUUAACCGAUUUACGAUCCGACAAAUUUACACCGCGAUUCGUCACGUCCGUCGCGAAUUUCGAUAAACCGGUCAGCUUAUAAAAGCCGACCGAAACGAUGCGCGGCCGAUAAUGCAGCGACAGUCAUGCACCGUGCCGCGUUUUGGUUAAGCGUGAUCACGCUCGCGAUCCUCUUGUUUUGGGCUGUAGAACGUGGAAACGCCACUUCGGACCCCGAUCCCCGGAAUAUAAUUUACAUCAUCAGCCAUGGGAAAAAGAAACACAAAGGAACGAUCAUUGAGAUCCACAGGCAUCGACCGAAGCACAAGCUGAACGUCGUACUCGUCGAUUCGUGAAUAGAUCUCGAACGAAAUUUUUUUAAAGUGACGGAGAACCAGGAACUGAGGAAAUAAUACGAAAUAAAUACGAGUGCACAAUGGACAAUUGUAAAGUGUGUGAGAUAUAGUUAUAUAAAAAUAUGAUGCUUCGUCGUUAAAUGCAUGCAAAUGUUUAACGUCAAAAAUAAAUAUUCGUAUACGUUUACGUGUAAUCCUAUUUACCUACGGAGAUUGAUGAAUAUGUUUUGUUUCACGCGGUAUUUCGUGCUUAAACGCACAAGUUUUCACGUUUCGUAUAACUUACGGGUCAGUCUCUUUGUCGAGCGACAUCAUGCUCAACGACACUCGUAAGUUAAGCGUUUAUUAUAGAAUUAUAUGCAAUUCUAACGGUAUGUAGGCGAUCGUCCCACCAUGGCAGGAACUUAACUAUCGUGCAGAGUGAUAAAUAUUACAGUUAUUACGCGUAUGUAUAUGCAACAGUUGUUAAACAAGGGAACAAGAACUAGAAGAGUAAGAUAUUGCAAAAGUGAACCGAUUCAAACGUUUCUUUCUCUUGGAUUUAAAAUAUUCAAAGAAUACUCUUGAAACGUUAAUAUUUUCCGAACGAUAGGUACUUAAAUCAUCAUGAGAAUCGAAAUGCAGUGGCAAUCGAAGCGAGGUUAAUCAAUUAAUCAUCAAUUCCUCCUCUUGGCAAACUUCCAAUCCCUGAACGCGAAUGAUCCUGUGCUUUGUAUUGCAUGCUCCUCCACGAUUUCACUUUCGUUCACGAGGGAUAUGGUUUCUGCUUGAAGAGCUAGUCACGAGGGAUAAAGGAAGAUAGAGAUAGAGGGUUUCGUUUUGAGCUGAAUAUCUAAGAGAGGCGCAAAAGAGGUAUAACGUGUAGGCAAGCUGUUCAACAAUUGAUUGCACGGACAGAACGUAGUCGCAGGCAAUGGACGUAGAAUGUAGAAGACCAGCAGACCCGCAAGCCCUAUUUCUCCCUACUCUUAUGUUUAUCCAUAGCUUCGCCAUUGUUCAUGAUCAAUCAUAGACAACAUGCAAUAUAGUGGGGACCAGCAGAGCUAAAAAUUUCAAGUCUUAUUCCGCUAUUUUCAUAGCUUUGCUUUUGACAUUGUUUGAAAUCUUCAGUUUCCAAUGUUAAUUAAUUUCGCAACUCUUGUGUCCUAAAAUCUGGAGAUUUCAUUUCGCCAAUUCCACCAUCCCUAGCUUUGCUUACGAACUGCUGAACAUUGGAUUAAAGUUUGAAACCUGCACUCAGCUAAUUUUGCAAUUCCUGACUUUCCUCUCUAGUAGAUCUAAAGUCUCUGCCGCCAAUUUCCCUAAUUUUCCACAGCUCUAUUCUCAUCCUCCAGAAAAUGUAGCGGAUCAAAUGGAAUUUAAAUUCUCAAAUUUUCAAUCCCACUGCCACUAGCUUCGAAUAACUACUUAUCCCAUAAUAUUAUCUAACCGCGGGAAUAUUACACUCGCAAAAUGGUUGAAUCAACAGAGAGCAAAGGAGCACCGGAAGCGUUCGGUCAAGGUAAGACGUUGCCUCUGCUCGCGGCGUAUGCACAUUCAUUUCUCAACCGCGCUUUCCUCCGCUCUCGAUGAAACGUUUUCCUUACCUAUGGUUGAAGGCAUCGGUUCUUCCAUUAAUUGCACCUUGCUCUUCGUUCUGCGUUUCCUCGCAUUCGUUUCGCUUCUCGAUGAGUUUGAUAGCUCGUGGCUAUGAUGCGCGUCCAAAUGCUCAUCGAGAAAUGAGUUUAACGACGAGUUCGUCGAAAUUUCGUACGAAUAGGUGGAGAGAUUCGCCAAUAUCGAUGGAACAAUUUUUUUGCUUCGAAUCUGGCUAAUAACGUUGAUUGCAUAAAGGUUAUGUAUGACUUUAAGAAAGAAUAUGUUUUGUUCGUAUGAGUGAUUCAAAGUGAAUAAGAGUGAAAAUAAAAGGAUGAAAAGAAACUUGAUUUAAACUGUUAUUAAGAUUGAUAUAUAUAUAUACCCUUUGUCUCGACGAGGAUAAUCGCUGGUAUUAAACUGGAUUGUCACUGAACUUUAAUCGAGAUCAAAUGUUUUGACCCUU